RNAcentral lists this non-coding RNA (114 nucleotides) under Corynebacterium phocae. RNAcentral's name for it is "TPP sequence". It matches the Rfam family "TPP riboswitch aptamer (THI element)". From Rfam's summary of the family: Vitamin B(1) in its active form thiamin pyrophosphate (TPP) is an essential coenzyme that is synthesised by coupling of pyrimidine and thiazole moieties in bacteria. The previously detected thiamin-regulatory element, thi box was extended, resulting in a new, highly conserved RNA secondary structure, the THI element, which is widely distributed in eubacteria and also occurs in some archaea. Lineage: Bacteria; Bacillati; Actinomycetota; Actinomycetes; Mycobacteriales; Corynebacteriaceae. The record is from Rfam by way of RNAcentral.
AAACAACAAUACGGGUGCUGGGGCUUUGCCCCGGCUGAGAUGCCACUUACUCUGGCAAACCGUUGAACUUGAUCCGGGUAAUACCGGCGUAUAAGGAAGGAAUACUUGUGACCA